CUUCAUAUCAAAAAGAGUCUUUACAUCAGAGUGAAUCUGAUUACAAAAGGUGAACAAAAUAGGAGGAAAAAGUGCCUAGGGAUGAAUGUCAGGAUUAGCAGCUUUGUUGGCAACCUCUAAAGCGGUGUCCUCUUCAGCUUCUCCUUCGUCAGGUCGCAUUUCAUUGAGAUCCCAUUCGGGGUGAAGAUGGCUGAUAGUCGCUUUAUAAUCCUCAAAACUAACUCUGUAAGCAAGAGCUAAUCCCUCACUAAGCUCGUUAUUGUACUUUUGAGAAGACCAAAACUCGACCAGUGCCCGAGAAGCUGCCUCCUAAGCUCAAGGCUCCACUAUCGAUGCUUUCUUCUUAGCUUUUCGAGCUAUU
RNAcentral lists this long non-coding RNA (361 nucleotides) under Elaeis guineensis (African oil palm). RNAcentral's name for it is "long non-coding RNA (EGUI_LNC041523)". Lineage: Eukaryota; Viridiplantae; Streptophyta; Magnoliopsida; Arecales; Arecaceae. The record is from RNAcentral.